AUACGUAGGUGACAAGCGUUAUCCGGAUUUACUGGGCGUAAAGGGCGUGUAGGCGGUCUUGCAAGUCAGAAGUGAAAUUCCUGAGCUCAACUCGGGCGCUGCUUCUGAAACUGCAGGACUUGAGUGCUGGAGGGGAUAGCGGAAUUCCUAGUGGAGCGGUAAAAUGCGCAGAUAUUAGGAAGAACACCGGUGGCGAAGGCGGCUAUCUGGACAGUAGCUGACGCUGAGGCGCGAAAGCGUGGGGAGCAAACAGGAUUAGAUACCCUGGUAGUCCACGUUGUAAACGAUGAAUACUAGGUGUGGGGGGACUGACCCCCUCCGUGCCGCAGUUAACACAAUAAGUAUUCCACCUGGGGAGUACGAUCGCAAGAUUGAAACUUAAAGGAAUUGACGGGG
This 396-nucleotide ribosomal RNA is filed under the name uncultured bacterium. RNAcentral describes it as "partial 16S ribosomal RNA". It matches the Rfam family "Bacterial small subunit ribosomal RNA", at positions 523 to 918 of the family's 1533-position model. The record is from RNAcentral.